RNAcentral lists this long non-coding RNA (670 nucleotides) under Medicago truncatula (barrel medic). RNAcentral describes it as "long non-coding RNA (MTRU_LNC001337)". The record is from RNAcentral. Lineage: Eukaryota; Viridiplantae; Streptophyta; Magnoliopsida; Fabales; Fabaceae.
GAUGAUGAAGAUAUUAUAGAUCAAUCACAAAUCUAUUUUAUUGAAAGCAGGAAAUGAACUUAGAAAAUAAGAUCGAUGAUCAUUCUUAGACUAUAGUAAUACUAUUUAUUGAAAAGAUUAAACAACUGAGUCCCCUAAUUAGAAUGCAGAGAAUACAUCUUAUUAUGUGAUGCAGUUUAAUUAUGUGGAGAGUUUCUCUUCCUCCUCAUCACAGAAUUGGCAUUGGCAUUUCUUGAAGAAGAAAACGCAUUGUCCUGAGAUUGCAUUUUCUACUUUCUGGCAGAAAUGAUUGCAUACUGCAGAAUGAUAGCAUCUUCCAUGAGGCCAUGUGUCACUUAUACGCAAACAUGCCUUGCUUGGUUUUGGUUCCUUCUCGUCCGAAAAAGCUGCAUGUCCGUCCAUAAUUUACAAAAUUAAAUAAACAAUUAUAGUAUGAUUUCAUAAAUUAAACAAACAAUAAUGUGACUUGCCUGAAGUAACAAGGAGAAUGGUAGCAAAGAAAGCUGCAAACAUUUGAAUACGAUUAAGGAACCUAGCCAUUCUUGCUUGCUUAUUCACUUUGUUUUUUGCUUUGAUAUAAUGAAACAAGGAUGGGUUUGUAUAUAUAUAAUAAUAAAUAUUCAUGCUUAAAUGGUGAACUCAUUGUUAGGUUAAGUACAGAAAUAACGUG